Molecule: ribosomal RNA, 119 nt
Filed under: Periophthalmus magnuspinnatus
Lineage: Eukaryota; Metazoa; Chordata; Actinopteri; Gobiiformes; Gobiidae
Source: RNAcentral
CGCUGCAAGCCAAACCUCCUUGUCAAAGCCUGCUCUUGUCAGAUCUUAGAAGCUGAGUAUGGCUGAGUCUGGUUGGUAUUUGGAUGGGAGACUGCUGGGAACUCCAGGUGCCACAGGGG